GGCUCAGACGAACGCAGGCGGCGUGCCUAAUACAUGCAAGUCGAGCGGAGCACUUCGGUGCUUAGCGGCGGACGGGUGAGUAACACGUAGGUAACCUGCCUAUAAGACUGGGAUAACUAUCGGAAACGAUAGCUAAGACCGGAUAACUGGUUUUCUCGCAUGAGAGAAUCAUGAAACACGGAGYAAUCUGUGGCUUAUAGAUGGGCCUGCGGCGCAUUAGCUAGUUGGUAGGGUAACGGCCUACCAAGGCGACGAUGCGUAGCCGACCUGAGAGGGUGAACGGCCACACUGGGACUGAGACACGGCCCAGACUCCUACGGGAGGCAGCAGUAGGGAAUCUUCCGCAAUGGACGCAAGUCUGACGGAGCAACGCCGCGUGAGUGAUGAAGGUUUUCGGAUCGUAAAGCUCUGUUGCCCUAGACGAACAGCAAGGCUGAGUAACUGCGCUUUGUGUGACGGUAUAGGAGAAGAAAGCCC
Molecule: ribosomal RNA, 477 nt
Filed under: Paenibacillaceae bacterium CL5.131
Lineage: Bacteria; Bacillati; Bacillota; Bacilli; Caryophanales; Paenibacillaceae
Description: bacterial SSU rRNA
Rfam family: Bacterial small subunit ribosomal RNA
Source: RNAcentral